This 291-nucleotide long non-coding RNA is filed under the name Elaeis guineensis (African oil palm). RNAcentral describes it as "long non-coding RNA (EGUI_LNC057000)". The record is from RNAcentral. Lineage: Eukaryota; Viridiplantae; Streptophyta; Magnoliopsida; Arecales; Arecaceae.
GUAGACCACUCGUAGUGGAAGUUCAGAGUAGGCCGAUCACGGUAGAAGUUCAGCUAUCGCUGGAGCUUGGCUGGAAUCCUAAAGGCGGUCGACCAUCGUAGAAACGUGGAAAGAGCUUGGUUGCUGUAGAAAUCUCAUUGUCGGGGAAGCUCGGAUGCUGACGAAGCCCGGAAGAAGUUUGGGGGUAGUCGAUUGCUGUAGAAGGAUGGCUAACAGCGAAGCUCAAAGGGCCUUUGGGGCAGCCCGAUGGGUGAACAUCGAGGCCCAUCGUCGAAGAAGUCUGGACGGUCG